This 23-nucleotide small nuclear RNA is filed under the name Arabidopsis thaliana (thale cress). Its description in RNAcentral is "snRNA_04437". Lineage: Eukaryota; Viridiplantae; Streptophyta; Magnoliopsida; Brassicales; Brassicaceae. The record is from RNAcentral.
UACAUGCAGGGUUAUGUGUGUAA